AGUGAACGCUGGCGGUAGGCCUAACACAUGCAAGUCGAACGGCAGCACAGUAAGAGCUUGCUCUUACGGGUGGCGAGUGGCGGACGGGUGAGGAAUACAUCGGAAUCUACUUUUUCGUGGGGAAUAACGUAGGGAAACUUACGCUAAUGCCGCAUACGACCUACGGGUGAAAGCAGGGGAUCUUCGGACCUUGCGCGAUUGAAUGAGCCGAUGUCGGAUUAGCUAGUUGGCGGGGUAAAGGCCCACCAAGGCGACGAUCCGUAGCUGGUCUGAGAGGAUGAUCAGCCACACUGGAACUGAGACACGGUCCAGACUCCUACGGGAGGCAGCAGUGGGGAAUAUUGGACAAAGGGCGCAAGCCUGAUCCAGCCAUACCGCGUGGGUGAAGAAGGCCUUCGGGUUGUAAAGCCCUUUUGUUGGGAAAGAAAAGCAGCGGGUUAAUACCCCGCUGUUCUGACGGUACCCAAAGAAUAAGCACCGGCUAACUUCGUG
RNAcentral lists this ribosomal RNA (492 nucleotides) under uncultured bacterium. RNAcentral's name for it is "partial 16S ribosomal RNA". It matches the Rfam family "Bacterial small subunit ribosomal RNA", at positions 29 to 507 of the family's 1533-position model. The record is from RNAcentral.